UCGGAUAUAGCUCAGCGGGAGAGCGCCGGAUUUGGGUCCGGAGGUCGCAGGUUCGAAUCCUGCUGUCUGAACCA
RNAcentral lists this transfer RNA (74 nucleotides) under Mesorhizobium sp. RNAcentral's name for it is "tRNA-OTHER". It matches the Rfam family "tRNA". Rfam says of the family: Transfer RNA (tRNA) molecules are approximately 80 nucleotides in length. The record is from RNAcentral. Lineage: Bacteria; Pseudomonadati; Pseudomonadota; Alphaproteobacteria; Hyphomicrobiales; Phyllobacteriaceae.